UUUUUGUCAUGCAUCUGGUUUUUUGAAAUCAUUUAUCUUUAAUUUGUUUUUUUUGUUAUAUUUGUCAAAAUUCAUAAUUUUUGUAUAACGGAACCUGGUUUUUGUUUUGUAUCUGGUUUAUUUUUGCAGAUGAUUAGAUUAGGGUUUUUUUGUGAUUGUUUUAUUUUUCUUGCAGAUUAUUAGAUAUGUUUGGAGGAAAAUAGUGGAAGAAGUUUGCCAAGAGAGUGAAGCAGCGGAGGAUGGCAACAAGGGUUGUCAAAGAAAAGCGAGAUGCCUCUCCAUGAAAGAAGUUUGCCUGUUUCAAUCUAAUGUCCUGCUAUUCAUCGAGGACUGAGUCGUGAAUCAUAUAACCUAACUGUGGUUAUUCCAAAAGCUCUCAUGCCUCAUGAGUUAGUUACAUGAAUAACUAUGAAAUGAUGAGUGGGGUUCAAAAGAGGUUAUUUUCUGGUUAAAUCUGGUUCAGAAGCAGCUGCAACAAGCUACUGAUAAGGAGAAAAUACAGUCAAGACUGACAAAUCUGAAAGCAUUGAGGACCCAAUCUGAAUGGUUUGUUUGGGAGACAAUCUGGGACAACUCUUUGAUACUUCUAUUCUGCGGCUAACAAGAACAAGGUUGUGAACGGGAUGAGAAAGCCCCGUAUGAUUACUUGCUUAACCCUGAGAAGUACAUCCCUGGGACAAAGAUGGUGUUUCCUGGUCUUAAGAAGCCUCAGGAUCGUGCUGAUCUUAUUGCAUAUCUGAAGCAAGCCACUGCAUCAGAAUAGAAUUUCCGUAUGCACCUCAAACAUGGAGUUUUAAUUUUCGAACAUUUUAUUUGUGUGGUGCAAACCACUUAUCUUGGCAAAAAAUAAUGCAGACUUGAUUAGUUUGUUGUGCUAUUUUGUUCCUUUUGCAUUGCAUUGCAUUGCUUCUUUAGAGUUGCGUUACAUAUAUUUCGCUGUGGACUAAUAUUAAGACAU
This is a long non-coding RNA of Vicia villosa (hairy vetch), 958 nucleotides long. RefSeq lists it as uncharacterized. Lineage: Eukaryota; Viridiplantae; Streptophyta; Magnoliopsida; Fabales; Fabaceae. The record is from RefSeq and is a predicted model, not a curated record. The transcript has 5 exons.